Molecule: transfer RNA, 72 nt
Filed under: Dermacentor andersoni
Lineage: Eukaryota; Metazoa; Arthropoda; Arachnida; Ixodida; Ixodidae
Also listed under: 1 other name
Description: transfer RNA tryptophan (anticodon CCA)
Rfam family: tRNA
About the family: Transfer RNA (tRNA) molecules are approximately 80 nucleotides in length. Their secondary structure includes four short double-helical elements and three loops (D, anti-codon, and T loops).
Source: RNAcentral
GACUCGGUAGCGCAACGGUAGCGCGUCUGACUCCAGAUCAGAAGGUUGCGUGUUCAAAUCACGUCCGGGUCA